Schistocerca piceifrons (Central American locust) is the source of this 323-nucleotide long non-coding RNA. RefSeq lists it as uncharacterized. The record is from RefSeq and is a predicted model, not a curated record. The transcript has 3 exons. NCBI's taxonomy places the organism in Eukaryota, Metazoa, Arthropoda, Insecta, Orthoptera, Acrididae.
GGAAGUGAUUUGCAGUACGCAUUCAGGAAAUGUGUUGUUGAAAAAUUUGACAACACUAGCAAUGGAAAUGGUGCAGUAGUAUUAUUUCAGCUGUUCCUUGACAGAGGAAGUAUACAAAGAACAGCAUCCAGCUUGGAAGAGACGGUGAAGUCCAUAAUCAUAAAUAAUAUAAAAAGGGGAGGCUUGGAGCAAAUUAGUAUUGAUCCUGCGACUGUGUUUAUUAAACGUUUCUUUGAUGGUGGGACUGGCAACAUACCUAAGACACAAACAGGAGAUGUUUUUACACCAAACUCUGAUAACAGGACUUUAGAAGUGAAGAAUGG